AUGGUGCAGUCAGUGGUUUGAGGACUGGACUAUGGCUCUGGAGACCAGGGUUCGAAUCCCUGCUUGCCAUA
Non-coding RNA from Phrynosoma platyrhinos (Desert horned lizard), 71 nucleotides. Lineage: Eukaryota; Metazoa; Chordata; Lepidosauria; Squamata; Phrynosomatidae. The record is from the annotation of a GenBank genome assembly.